UGCUUGUUGAGGGCAGGUUUUACAGAUCCUUCUGACAACUUCCAUGAAGUGCCUUGUCAGCACCUCUGUAGCCCCAGCAGCUGCUGAAAGGAGGUGGUCAAGAUUUUGUAGAAGACCAUUUCUUCUUUGACACUGGGAAAUUGACCCUUGAAGUUCCUCAUAGAGAGGAGCACAAGCA
This is a long non-coding RNA of Lontra canadensis (Northern American river otter), 178 nucleotides long. RefSeq lists it as uncharacterized. The transcript has 3 exons. The record is from RefSeq and is a predicted model, not a curated record. NCBI's taxonomy places the organism in Eukaryota, Metazoa, Chordata, Mammalia, Carnivora, Mustelidae.